Molecule: unclassified non-coding RNA, 1138 nt
Filed under: Hevea brasiliensis (rubber tree)
Lineage: Eukaryota; Viridiplantae; Streptophyta; Magnoliopsida; Malpighiales; Euphorbiaceae
Source: RNAcentral
UUUUUUUUUUUUUCUGUUUUUUUCUAAUGUUGGUUUUGUGGAUAAUUUUUUAGUGGAAUUUUCUUUUAGGGUUGAUCCAAAUUUUAUAGUGAUUAUGUGGUGUGUUAUCCUGUGUAUCGUUGGAUGUAACUGGCUCUUGAAUUGGAUGAUUAUGUUGUUUGUUAUGAUCAGGUGCUGAGGGCCUUAUCUGUUAAAUAUUAUCCCUCAUAUUAAUUAUAUAAGUUUUAAUUGUAUUUUAUUCAGGUUAUAUAUGUGAUUACUUGCAAAAAGUAUGAAAUUGUCAUGGUGUAGCAAAGUUAUAAGAUGUUGCUUUCUGUGUGUGUUUGGGUUUUUUUUCCCUGUUCUUUUGUUUGAUCUCUUUUAUCUUCUGAGCUUUGAUUUUCUUUGGAAGCAAAGAUAUGACCUUUUAGAAGCUUCAAAUAUGUAGCAUAAACAAGAUUUUUGGUGAGGAAAGCUCAUCUUAUCACACUAUAAAUAUUACUGUCUGGGGCAAGUUCUUAUCGUUAUUCAUGCAGUAGAUCUUGUGGGUUUUGCGUAUGAUCAAUUAAAAUAUACCACUAUAUAGCAAUUAUGUUAGAGGGUUACUUUUGCUAAUUUCUGUUCUUCACAAUUCACCUUGUUUGUAGCAUAUCCAAGUGUACAAACAAGUAAACCUCUUAAAUUUUUUGCAUGUUAUGAACAAGUGUAUUUAGCUCCUUGGAUGUUGUGUUUUUUCGAUAUUAGAUAUAUUGCUUCUCUUAUGAGUUCCUUCAGGGUAUCUGUUUUCUUAAUACUGCCAAAAACUUUAGGCUCUUGUUAUAGAAAAAGUCUGACCUGGAAUUAUUUUGUAAAUUAUGAUCUUUAAUGCACUAAUUUUAAUGGAAGUGAUAGCUAAGAGUAAGAGAUUCACUCAUGACCCGUCAAUAGUUUCUCUUCUGUCUCUAGAAAUUGCCACAAGGGACAGAAUUGUGACCUUCACUAACUUUUACAACCUACAUCUUUCUAUUAAAACACAGAAUGGUAACUUAGGACAUUCAGCAUUUAUGUGGAAAAAACUCUCCUUUUCUUCCCUUUUGUGGUUUUUUUUUCUCUAUGCAUUAUGAUACUAUUCUUUUCGUUAAAGUUCCUUCUAACAGCUUGUAGUUUUCUAUUUCUGUAG